Long non-coding RNA from Magnolia sinica, 821 nucleotides. RefSeq lists it as uncharacterized. The transcript has 3 exons. The record is from RefSeq and is a predicted model, not a curated record. Lineage: Eukaryota; Viridiplantae; Streptophyta; Magnoliopsida; Magnoliales; Magnoliaceae.
CUCUCUCUCUCUCUCUCUCUCUCUCUCUCUCUCUCAACCCUAAUUAUUUCAAAAUCAAGGUUACUGAAGACUAAGGUUUUUGGAUGUGAGAUUGUUCGGAUCUGUCAUGGUCGAUCUUCCAAGCGACGCAGCGGCAGCAGCCAGGGCUUCUCCCUGGCAGCGCUGAACAAUGGUAGUACGGAUGUGCCGAAGCUGACGGUGUCGGGAUCGUUCAAGGGGUCAAGGAGGUGGACAUCGGUCCAGCCGAGCCUCGACGUGGAUGAGUUCAUAAAUUUGCUGCACAAGUCGGAUCCGGUCAAGGUGGAGUUGAAUCAAUUGGAUAAUGAAGUCAGAGAUAAGGAUUGGGAGUUGGGGGAAGUGCAGGUGGAGAUCAAGGCAUUGAGGUUAUCAGAACGUUUGAGAGAGAAGGGGGUCGAAGAGGUAUUAAUUUUAAUUUAUUUAUUUUGGGAUUUUCUAUAUUUGGCUAUCAGGCGUUUUAUUUUGAUUUAAAAUCUGGUUUCAAUUUUAGAUUUAUAUGUAAUAGUGUAUUACAUUGUGUUUUUGGAUUUUCGGUAAUUGGCAUUUUUUAAAUUUUUUUCUUUUUUUAUACGAGGUUUGCCAUCUCGUGCACAAUAUGAAAGGCGGAUGUUAAUGCAGCAGCAAUUAAAAUAAUCAUGGCUGGAGCUGGGUGUGAAAAUGGUAGUAAAGUCGAAGAACUCUCAUCCUUGGAGAUGGACUCUAUAACUUCAUCAAAGUACUGUCUUUCACCAUCAGAAGCUUCCAUGGUAGAUUGAAAUGGAAGGACCCUUAGAACAAGUAAAAAACCAUGACAAGGGUUCGAA